This 698-nucleotide unclassified non-coding RNA is filed under the name Hevea brasiliensis (rubber tree). Lineage: Eukaryota; Viridiplantae; Streptophyta; Magnoliopsida; Malpighiales; Euphorbiaceae. The record is from RNAcentral.
CUUUCUUUGCUUCGUUUUUUGGGGGGAUUGAAUCCUAAUUUUUUGUUUUCUCUUUUCUGGAGAGAAUCUCCUGUGGGGAAUGCAGAGAGAUGAGAGGUGCUUCGUUGACAAAGAGUGAACUGUGUGGCCGUGCCAAACGGUGUAUCGGCGGCCGAAAUUGCCACCGGAAACACGUCGAGGACGGGUGAACUGAUCCUUUCUCAAUCAAGAAAACCGCACAAACUCCCUCCUUUUUUAUUUUCUUUUCUCAGAAUUUUUUUUUUGCCUUCUCGCACCUCCACAUCUUUGUAUAUACUAUUAGAAUAAAAUCUUGUCUCUGUAGCGAUUCUCUUUCUGGGUAUGGCUGAAAGGAGCAAAGAUGGUCACCCGACCUUGCUUCAUGGGAGAUACGAGCUUGGCCGGAUGCUCGGACAUGGCACUUUCGCUAAGGUCUACCAUGCUCGGAAUUUGCAGACGGGAAAGAGCGUGGCUAUGAAGGUGGUCGGCAAAGAGAAGGUCAUAAAGGUCGGUAUGAUGGAGCAAAUCAAGAGGGAAAUUUCUGUUAUGAAGAUGGUGAAGCACCCAAAUAUUGUCGAGCUUCACGAGGUCAUGGCGAGUAAAUCUAAGAUCUAUUUCGCUAUGGAACUUGUUCGAGGCGGUGAGUUGUUCGCCAAGAUUGCUAAGGGUCGAUUGAGGGAGGACGUUGCUAGAGUUUAUUU